Molecule: unclassified non-coding RNA, 192 nt
Filed under: uncultured fungus
Lineage: Eukaryota; Fungi
Description: partial internal transcribed spacer 2
Source: RNAcentral
AACGCAAGUGGCGCUCUGCGACGAGCGGAGCAUGCUUGGCUGAGGGUUGUUUCAUUUAGUGGCGGUAUUCGGGUGGAUUCCGCCGAAGGUGGCGUGGGGACGGAGCAGAACAGGGUAAAUUCGUUUGCCCUUGUUUGUACGAUGCUCUCUCAGUGCAACCUCAGAUCAAGCAGGAGUACCCGCCGAACUUAA